Molecule: unclassified non-coding RNA, 257 nt
Filed under: air metagenome
Description: partial contains small subunit ribosomal RNA, internal transcribed spacer 1, and 5.8S ribosomal RNA
Rfam family: Eukaryotic small subunit ribosomal RNA (bases 1-46)
Source: RNAcentral
AAGUCGUAACAAGGUUUCCGUAGGUGAACCUGCGGAAGGAUCAUUACCGAGUGCGGGUUCCAACGAGCCCAACCUCCCACCCGUGUUUACCGUGACCGCGUUGCCUCGGCGGGCCCACUGGGGCCUGGCCCCGGUCGCCGGGGGGCAUCUGCCCCCGGGCCCGCGCCCGCCGAAGCGCCCUAGAACCCUGUCUGAACAGUGAGUCUGAGUGAAUGAUUCAAUCAUUAAAACUUUCAACAACGGAUCUCUUGGUUCCG